Molecule: ribosomal RNA, 211 nt
Filed under: Colletotrichum destructivum
Lineage: Eukaryota; Fungi; Ascomycota; Sordariomycetes; Glomerellales; Glomerellaceae
Description: partial large subunit ribosomal RNA
Source: RNAcentral
AAGCGCUUGUGACCAGACUUGCGUCCGGUGAAUCACCCAGCUCUCGCGGCUGGGGCACUUCGCCGGCACAGGCCAGCAUCAGCUUGCCGUCGGGGACAAAAGCUUCAGGAACGUAGCUCUCUUCGGGGAGUGUUAUAGCCUGUUGCAUAAUACCCUUCGGCGGGCUGAGGUACGCGCUCCGCAAGGAUGCUGGCGUAAUGGUCAUCAGCGA